Molecule: unclassified non-coding RNA, 304 nt
Filed under: uncultured Ascomycota
Lineage: Eukaryota; Fungi; Ascomycota
Description: sequence contains ITS1
Rfam family: 5.8S ribosomal RNA (bases 1-105)
Source: RNAcentral
GAAAUGCGAUAAGUAGUGUGAAUUGCAGAAUUCAGUGAAUCAUCGAAUCUUUGAACGCACAUUGCGGCCAUAGGUAUUCCUUUGGCCAUGCCUGUUCGAGCGUCAUUUACACCCUCAAGCCUAGCUUGGUGUUGGGCGUCUGUCCCGCUUCGCGCGCGGACUCGCCUCAAAGUCAUUGGCGGCGGUCGUGCCGGCCCCUGAGCGCAGCACAUUUGCGCUUCUCGGAGGCCCGGCGGACCCGCGCUCCAGCAAGACCUUUCUACGACUUGACCUCGGAUCAGGUAGGGAUACCCGCUGAACUUAA